GGGAUACUCGGCUAGCUGGGCCUGGAGCGCCGUGGGUUUCGUCGCCUGUUAUCGUAGUAGCUGGCGUUUAUAGAGGAAUGGAAAUGUACUACCACACAUUGGACCAGUUCUUUCUCAGGCUGAUAACAUUACAGAAUCCCGUUUGAAAUCAAGCUGGACUGGUGGAAAUCAGAUUCCCAUAUCCUCUCAUAAGCUGUUUGUCGAGACUUUUCUCAAAUGUCUACAAUAAACAUGUAUUACUUCUAUAAUAAGAAAAGAGAUUUAAAUAUACUUGAAACGAAAAAGAUCACUUUGGCAGCAGUGGUUAGAAGAAUAUGAAUAAAGGAGAUUGGAUGGGAGGUUACUGCAAUGGUUUAGGGAAAAGACAACGCAAGAAAGAACCAAGGAUAUGGCAGUGUGGCUAGAGAAGGAAAAGCUGAUCGAAGACAUAUUCAGUAGUUCUAUGAGAAUUAUAAACACACACCACACAUUCAAGUCAAUAAUAAAACUGAUCUUUUAAAAGA
Molecule: long non-coding RNA, 503 nt
Filed under: Equus asinus (donkey)
Lineage: Eukaryota; Metazoa; Chordata; Mammalia; Perissodactyla; Equidae
Description: lncRNA (ENSEASG00005033644.1)
Source: RNAcentral